AUUGAACGCUGGCGGCAGGCCUAACACAUGCAAGUCGAACGGUAACAGGAAGCAGCUUGCUGCUUCGCUGACGAGUGGCGGACGGGUGAGUAAUGUCUGGGAAGCUGCCUGAUGGAGGGGGAUAACUACUGGAAACGGUAGCUAAUACCGCAUAAUGUCGCAAGACCAAAGAGGGGGACCUUCGGGCCUCUUGCCAUCGGAUGUGCCCAGAUGGGAUUAGCUUGUUGGUGGGGUAACGGCUCACCAAGGCGACGAUCCCUAGCUGGUCUGAGAGGAUGACCAGCCACACUGGAACUGAGACACGGUCCAGACUCCUACGGGAGGCAGCAGUGGGGAAUAUUGCACAAUGGGCGCAAACCUGAUGCAGCCAUGCCGCGUGUAUGAAGAAGGCCUUCGGGUUGUAAAGUACUUUCAGCGGGGAGGAAGGGAGUAAAGUUAAUACCUUUGCUCAUUGACGUUACCCGCAGAAGAAGCACCGGCUAACUCCGUG
This 490-nucleotide ribosomal RNA is filed under the name uncultured bacterium. RNAcentral describes it as "partial 16S ribosomal RNA". It matches the Rfam family "Bacterial small subunit ribosomal RNA", at positions 30 to 507 of the family's 1533-position model. The record is from RNAcentral.